RNAcentral lists this long non-coding RNA (345 nucleotides) under Gossypium barbadense (sea-island cotton). Its description in RNAcentral is "long non-coding RNA (GBAR_LNC002049)". Lineage: Eukaryota; Viridiplantae; Streptophyta; Magnoliopsida; Malvales; Malvaceae. The record is from RNAcentral.
AAGGAAGGAAGGUUAGAUACCUUUGAUAGGGUUGUAUUUUUGGUUGAAAUGGGAUGGUGUUCAAACUCCCGAAAUGCAGUCUAGACAGUGGGCCCUCCCCUUUCUGACUAGACUGACUCGGGGAAGGGUCAAUCUCCUCCGGAGCAUGCUGCACAGCCACUCAUUUGUCCUGACUAAAUAGUAGAAUCUAUCUCUCAGCGAUUCUUUUCUCCGCCAAAAACCCCUUCCCAACCAGCCCGCCCGAUUUUUUUUGUAAGAUCAGCUAAUUUAAAGGGGUUAAUCUGGUCCGAAGUUGUCGGAACGAAUCGUUUGCUUUAUCAAACAAAGCUUUAUUAGGGGGCCCAU